UUACGGCCACGUCAAGUUGAAACACCGAUUCCCGUAGAAUCACCGACGUUAAGCAACAUCGAGCCUGGUCAGUACCUAGAUGGGUGACCGCUACGGAAUACCAAAUGCUGUA
Acanthosepion pharaonis is the source of this 112-nucleotide non-coding RNA. NCBI's taxonomy places the organism in Eukaryota, Metazoa, Mollusca, Cephalopoda, Sepiida, Sepiidae. The record is from the annotation of a GenBank genome assembly.